CCUACGGGUGGCAGCAGUGGGGAAUAUUGCACAAUGGGGGAAACCCUGAUGCAGCGACGCCGCGUGAGUGAAGAAGGAUUUCGGUACGUAAAGCUCUAUCAGCAGGGAAGAAAAUGACGGUACCUGACUAAGCAGCUCCGGCUAACUACGUGCCAGCAGCCGCGGUACUACGUAGGGGGCAAGGGUUAUCCGGAUUUACUGGGUGUAAAGGGAGCGUAGACGGCAGGGCAAGUCUGGAGUGAAAUCCCAUGGCUGAACCAUGGAACUGCUUUGGAUACUGUGCGGCUGGAGUGCAGUAGAGGUAAGCGGAAUUCGUAGUGUAGCGGUGAAAUGCGUAGAUAUUAGGAGGAACCCCAGUGGCGAAGGCAGCUUACUGGACUGUCACUGACGUUGAGGCUCGAAAGCGUGGGGAGCAAACAGGAUUAGAUACCCUUGUAGUC
Molecule: ribosomal RNA, 440 nt
Filed under: uncultured bacterium
Lineage: Bacteria
Description: partial 16S ribosomal RNA
Rfam family: Bacterial small subunit ribosomal RNA
Source: RNAcentral